This is a long non-coding RNA of Centruroides sculpturatus (bark scorpion), 784 nucleotides long. RefSeq lists it as uncharacterized. The record is from RefSeq and is a predicted model, not a curated record. Lineage: Eukaryota; Metazoa; Arthropoda; Arachnida; Scorpiones; Buthidae. The transcript is spliced from 4 exons.
AAAGUUAUCAAAUUAAAAGCAGUUCGUUUGAUUUUCGGAAAUUCUCAUCAUUCUCAGCGUGUUAAAUUGCCUUUCUUAGUGCGAAACGUGCUGUUUAACGAUGGGCAAAACAUGGUUUGUGAUUGGAUGAAAUGCUGGAUUCGCCACAUGUUCAGAGAAAGUAAGUUUAUUUAAAGGAUCUAAAGAUCGGAAUUAUUACUGAAGUGGCGGCGAAUGAUUCCUUAGAGAAGACAGACUUUACAAAUAAACUGAUUUUGUUUUUGAAAGACAUUUUGCACCCCACUUUAUUAUUAAAGACUGGAAUGAUACUAACAGAAGUAUGCGGAAGUUUCUGGGAGUAAAUGGAAAAUUAGAUGACAACAACAUAAGAAUUUUAAUAUUUUUCUGAUAGUCCUCAUCUCAUAAAAACAAUCAGAAAUCGGCUUAUUAAUGGACAUAAUUUACGGUUUGAAUGAUGGCAUCAUUAAAUGGGAACAUUAUCAAGCUGUUCUUGCUCUGGAUUCAAACAAAGCAGGAUGCUUAAAAAUUUUUUAACUCUUCAACAGCUGAGGGUCUCCGAGUCACUUUGAUCUAGACCAGGGGUGGCCAAAAGGUGGCGCAUGCGCCAAACGUGGCGCAUUGGACAAUUAAAAGUGGCGCUUCAGUUAGUUCUGAGCAAAAUUGCCAGAUUUGGCUUUUUUGCGAUUAAGAAUAUUAUAUAGAAAAAUAAAUUUUUUAUAAUCUGUCUUGGCAAGUUCAUUUGUUGCACAAUUCGUUACAGUCUAUUUUGCAGAUAAAAUGAGUA